RNAcentral lists this ribosomal RNA (460 nucleotides) under uncultured bacterium. Its description in RNAcentral is "partial 16S ribosomal RNA". It matches the Rfam family "Bacterial small subunit ribosomal RNA", at positions 338 to 795 of the family's 1533-position model. The record is from RNAcentral.
CCUACGGGAGGCUGCAGUGAGGAAUAUUGGUCAAUGGGCGGGAGCCUGAACCAGCCAAGUCGCGUGAGGGAAGACGGUCCUAUGGAUUGUAAACCUCUUUAGGCGGGGAGCAAUGCCGGGCACGCGUGCCCGGAGGGAGAGUACCCGCAGAAUAAGCAUCGGCUAACUCCGUGCCAGCAGCCGCGGUAAUACGGAGGAUGCGAGCGUUAUCCGGAUUUAUUGGGUUAAAAGGGUGCGUAGGCGGAUUUUUAAGUCAGCGGGAAAAUGGCCGGGCUCAACCCGGGCCGGCCGUUGAAACUGGGGAUCUUGAGUGGGCGAGAAGUAUGCGGAAUGCGUGGUGUAGCGGUGAAAUGCAUAGAUAUCACGCAGAACUCCGAUUGCGAAGGCAGCAUACCGGCGCCCGACUGACGCUGAGGCACGAAAGCGUGGGGAUCGAACAGGAUUAGAUACCCCAGUAGUC